RNAcentral lists this unclassified non-coding RNA (443 nucleotides) under Hevea brasiliensis (rubber tree). The record is from RNAcentral. Lineage: Eukaryota; Viridiplantae; Streptophyta; Magnoliopsida; Malpighiales; Euphorbiaceae.
GAAAAAAGUAAGAGAAAGUACAUAAGCAGUUCGAGAGUAACCAUAACAUCCUCUACAGCAGCAACAACAACAGAUACAAACUAGUAGCGAGGAUAUGACAUAUACUACAAACCAGAAAACAGCAAUGAUGAAAAGAGAAGAUUUUCAUCGAUCAGCAGGCAAACUCCUGGACGACAUUUCAUAUAAUAACUGAUCACACAAGGAAACAAUCCAAUAGUAGGAUUAAGGAGGUUCGGAAGGACAUCAAACCAGGUAUUGAUAAUGGCAGAGUGGCCUUACAGCCAAAUAGCUGAUAAGAAGCCAAUAGAUUUGCAUUUAACCGCAUGACAGUUUUGGCUGUUAUAUCUUGUUAACAAGGUACCUUCCAAGAGAAUCGAUAGGCUUGGUAGAGUCAUAAUUUUGCAUUCCCCGUUGUCUAAUUUUAAUUCGAGCAAUGUAAUCUG